GACGAACGCUGGCGGCGUGCUUAACACAUGCAAGUCGAACGGAAAGGCCCUGCUUUUGUGGGGUGCUCGAGUGGCGAACGGGUGAGUAACACGUGAGUAACCUGCCCUUGACUUUGGGAUAACUUCAGGAAACUGGGGCUAAUACCGGAUAGGAGCUCCUGCUGCAUGGUGGGGGUUGGAAAGUUUCGGCGGUUGGGGAUGGACUCGCGGCUUAUCAGCUUGUUGGUGGGGUAGUGGCUUACCAAGGCUUUGACGGGUAGCCGGCCUGAGAGGGUGACCGGCAACAUUGGGACUGAGAUACGGCCCAGACUCCUACGGGAGGCAGCAGUGGGGAAUAUUGCACAAUGGGCGGAAGCCUGAUGCAGCAACGCCGCGUGCGGGAUGACGGCCUUCGGGUUGUAAACCGCUUUCGCCUGUGACGAAGCGUGGGUGACGGUAAUGGGUAAAGAAGCACCGGCUAACUACGUG
Molecule: ribosomal RNA, 468 nt
Filed under: uncultured bacterium
Lineage: Bacteria
Description: partial 16S ribosomal RNA
Rfam family: Bacterial small subunit ribosomal RNA
Source: RNAcentral